RNAcentral lists this ribosomal RNA (1148 nucleotides) under 'Picea pungens' phytoplasma. Its description in RNAcentral is "bacterial SSU rRNA". It matches the Rfam family "Bacterial small subunit ribosomal RNA", at positions 211 to 1367 of the family's 1533-position model. Lineage: Bacteria; Bacillati; Mycoplasmatota; Mollicutes; Acholeplasmatales; Acholeplasmataceae. The record is from RNAcentral.
AGGUAUGCUUAGGGAGGAGCUUGCGUCACAUUAGUUAGUUGGUGGGGUAAAGGCCUACCAAGACUAUGAUGUGUAGCCGGGCUGAGAGGUUGAACGGCCACAUUGGGACUGAGACACGGCCCAAACUCCUACGGGAGGCAGCAGUAGGGAAUUUUCGGCAAUGGAGGAAACUCUGACCGAGCAACGCCGCGUGAACGAUGAAGUAUUUCGGUACGUAAAGUUCUUUUAUUAGGGAAGAAUAAAUGAUGGAAAAAUCAUUCUGACGGUACCUAAUGAAUAAGCCCCGGCUAACUAUGUGCCAGCAGCCGCGGUAAUACAUAGGGGGCAAGCGUUAUCCGGAAUUAUUGGGCGUAAAGGGUGCGUAGGCUGUUAAAUAAGUUUAUGGUCUAAGUGCAAUGCUCAACAUUGUGAUGCUAUAAAAACUGUUUAGCUAGAGUAAGAUAGAGGCAAGUGGAAUUCCAUGUGUAGUGGUAAAAUGCGUAAAUAUAUGGAGGAACACCAGUAGCGAAGGCGGCUUGCUGGGUCUUUACUGACGCUGAGGCACGAAAGCGUGGGGAGCAAACAGGAUUAGAUACCCUGGUAGUCCACGCCGUAAACGAUGAGUACUAAACGUUGGGUAAAACCAGUGUUGAAGUUAACACAUUAAGUACUCCGCCUGAGUAGUACGUACGCAAGUAUGAAACUUAAAGGAAUUGACGGGACUCCGCACAAGCGGUGGAUCAUGUUGUUUAAUUCGAAGGUACCCGAAAAACCUCACCAGGUCUUGACAUGCUUCUGCAAAGCUGUAGAAACACAGUGGAGGUUAUCAGUUGCACAGGUGGUGCAUGGUUGUCGUCAGCUCGUGUCGUGAGAUGUUGGGUUAAGUCCCGCAACGAGCGCAACCCUUAUUGUUAGUUGCCAGCACGUAAUGGUGGGGACUUUAGCAAGACUGCCAGUGAUAAAUUGGAGGAAGGUGGGGACGACGUCAAAUCAUCAUACCCCUUAUGACCUGGGCUACAAACGUGAUACAAUGGCUGUUACAAAGGGUAGCUGAAACGCAAGUUUUUGGCGAAUCUCAAAAAAACAGUCUCAGUUCGGAUUGAAGUCUGCAACUCGACUUCAUGAAGUUGGAAUCGCUAGUAAUCGCGAAUCAGCAUGUCGCGGUGAAU